Lotus japonicus is the source of this 5602-nucleotide long non-coding RNA. RefSeq lists it as uncharacterized. Lineage: Eukaryota; Viridiplantae; Streptophyta; Magnoliopsida; Fabales; Fabaceae. The record is from RefSeq and is a predicted model, not a curated record. The transcript is spliced from 2 exons.
CAUUUAUCCAGAGAUUGUAAGGCACCCAAGGGCGAAUCAUCAGGGAAUGUUGGGAAAGGAAAACAACUUGCUACAGAGGAAAGGAUUUAUGCCAAGGAAGGAGCAAGAGCUGAGGAGUUAAACGAGGAGGAACGUGGGAACGAUGGUAAUAUUUUAACUGUCCUCUUAUUCUAGAAUAACUUACUCUUUUAUCUUUGAAGCGAGUAUGACGCGCCUAACUUGUAUUUACUACUUAGACUAUGAUCUUAUGAUUAUUAUCCCUAGUAGGACCUUAUUCGAAGUUGCUCGUGUUUUAACUAUAGAAGUUACACGAGGUUGGGAAUAGCACACUAAGUCUAGAAAGUAGUCUUCCACCGAUGCGAUUAUGAGGAAGCUAGUAGCUGAAGAACGAAUCUUAGGGACAUUCCGUAUGGGUAGUAUACGCGAUAUGUUGAGGGUGUGUAGUUCCGUAGCGGGAUCAUUAAAGGAUUUAGUAUCAGGAUAUUUGUGACUACUGGAGGAUAGGAACUCAUUGACUGUUCCAGUGGGUUUUUCUAAAUUUCCACCUUCGAUGUAUUAGGCCUGAUCAACCUAAUAUUGAGGGGGUGAUAUUCGGAAUCACAGCUGGUAAUGGACCUUGAUAGAAGGAUGUGUAAGAUGAAUUUGAAUUGAUUGAGGAUUAGUCGGAUUUGGGAGGAAAGUUCGUGUUAAGCAUUUGAUUGUAAAAGAUUAAGAUUUAAAUCUUUGGAAGUCGAUGAGUGUCGUAUAGACAUUGAUUGGUUAGUUCGUGUGAUUACUCCAAGUAGAGGUAAAAUAAGUCAAGAGAUUUAGUGCUGGAAAAGUAUUAAGUAGUUUCUCGGAAGUUAUGAAGUCAUAGGUUAUGUGAUUACUGAGUGGAAUUGUUAGAGACUAAAUAGGUUGGAUUUAAUCAGGUUUUAGAUGAUAGCUUGAUGGUAGCAAGAUUGAGAAGAAUUAACUCUGAACUAGAUUGUUAUAGUUGAGUUCGAGGAAUAAGUUUUGCUAAGCGUUUGAUUAAUAUGUGGAGACAUUACAGUCUUAAGAGAUGAAUUGUCACUUGAAAAGUAUUGGAUUAAUGAUUAAGUUGGAAGAAGAAAGUUUUAGCAUAAGUUGAAUACUUGAGGUUGUUGAUAUGGAUUCCAAAGAAAUAUGCUAAGAUUACUAAGUGAGAUUUACUAAGUUGGAUUGAAAUCUUAGGGUUAAGAUUGAAUAUUGAGAGUCGAGAAUCGCGUACGAGUAGGAGAUCUUAUGGUUGUAGGUGUGACAAUAGGAGUUGAAUCUUAGAAGAUUGAAGACCUGAAGGUGAGUUUCGGGUUAAGACCAUUGAGGUAUAGUAUAAGAGAGAUCUUGAAGUAAAGGAAUUCUGGGUUGUGUAGAGCGUUAAGGUUGGUUAUAAGUUGGUGAUCGAUUGAUGUUGAUUAUGAGGUUGCGGACAUAACGACCAUGUGAUAAGAUUUGAAUGGUGUUAGCAUAAUAAGUUAUGAUUACGGAUAUCAGGAUCAAGCGGUGAGUGUGAAAGCAUGACGACAGUUAUCAGGUCGUUUGUGUAAGCGAAGGAGUUAUAGUUUUAAGAAAUAAAUAUUCAUUUAAGAAGUGUUGGAGAGUUAAAGGAUAUUGGUGGUCCAAACUUAGUGAAGGUUUAGAUUUUAAGCCAAUCGAUUUGAUCACGAACGCGUGAGACAUGAACUCUUGUCAGGUUUUGAUCGAGAGACUAAGUAUUGGAACGAUUGGAGGAUGAUCAAGUUACAGAAAGGAAAGUGUUAGUAUUAAGAUGAAUACUUGAGGUUUUUAUAUUUGAACAAGUUCCGUAGAGUCUAAGGGUGAAUGGAACCUUGUCAUGGAUUUUGAUGAUGCAUAUUACGGUUAACAAGUGAAUCUUACUAAAGUUGAAUGAGAAUCCUAGGGCUAAGGUUGACCUAGUGAGCUGAGAUUCAUGUACACAUAAGAGAUUUAGUGGUGUUAGCGGUUACGAUAACGGUUAAAUCUCAGAAUGUUGAAGGAUCGGAUGAUAAAGUGGCUAGUUAAGUCCCUUGAGGUAUAGUUAUGAUUUGAUCUUCUAGAGGAUAAGUCUCGAUUUGUGCGAAGUGUUAGGGAUUUCAGUAAGUGUAAAUAGGUUUGAGUGAGGGAAGUUCUAAGGAAGAAGACGAUAAUACUAGAUUGUUAGAUAUUAAGAAGAGGAUUAUCAUAUAAGUUGUUGAUAAAUUGAUGUUGAAGGGGAUAAGAUUAGUGAAGGACAAGAAAUAAGGACAUAAGUCGAGCUUUAAUUCGAAUAGUGACUAAGUAGAAGUGUGAUUUCUUGGUGUGUGUAAAGAUAAUUACGAAGUUGGAGGUGUUUUAAUGGACUAGCGGUUUCCAAGGGGAUGAUUCGUCUAGGAGUUAUCGAACGGACAGGUGGAGUUUUGGACUGUAGAUGAAGAUCUCGAGGACAAGUUGAGUAUUUACUUUGAAAUGACAGAGAGGCACCGAGUUUAAGAAGAAUUUCGGACGACCGAAAGUAAAGAAGUAAGUGGCUAAGGUUGUGCGACUGCACGGAGUGCCAACCGGUAUCAUUUCAAGCAGAGAUCCGACGCAAGUACUCGAGUCAGACGACAUGAAGUUGAAUGAUGGUUUGUCUUUGGAGACGCCGACAGUUAGCAGUGGGGAUAGAAGAGUGAAACAAUUAAGGGGAGAACAGAUUGCUUAAGUAAAGGUUAUGAGGAACAAUGACACGGGCAAUACUACAUGAGAAUUGGGAGAUAAGAUCGAGGAACUGUAUCCCGGACUUUUUGCAGAACUCUGAGUUUCGAGGACGAAACUUUCUUUUUGGAGGGGAGUAUUGUAAGACCUGGAUUUGCAGAACAAGUUAAUUUCCGACUCACGCGUAAAAUCAGUGUAAGCGUGACAGGAGUUUGAUAUUUGAGAAAGAUUAAUGAAGAAGAAAGUUCAGGAAUUGCUUGAGGAAUGUUGCGUAGUUGCUUUCGGAGUUAGUGCGAUUCGUCUGCACACCUGCCUUAUGGCGAGCGUGUCCAGAAUAGGUUAUUUCGCUUCUAGAGCAACGUUUCAAGUGAGAUUUCAAAUCUUUGGAAAAUUUAAAGAUUCUCUUUAUUUUUCCUUCGACCAGCGUUUCAUUUCGGAACCCUGGACUGUACGCACGAUAGUAUUCACUUUUCGGAAGUCCGACGACGCUAAUUUCUUUGCUUCGAAACCCUAGAUUCAAGCGCUGAAUGAAGACUUUUUCUAUUCGGGACUUCUAACGAAGUUUCCGUCCGCGUUGCCAGAUUUGUUUCGACGUUUCCAAUCUUUCUUCAAAAGGAAGUUUUCUCAUCCGACAUCAAGUGCAAAAAGUAGUUUUGCGAUAUAUUUUGAAGCAUACUGCGUUCAAGCCAUUUUCUCACUUAAAUGAACCCGAUGCAAGUAUCGUCCUUUCUUGGAUCGAUACUUAGAUUAAUUGCAUAAUAUGACAACGUCAUAUUUGUUCUAAUUGUCUAACAGUUAUUCUUUAGCUCAGUUUUUACUCAUUUUCUUGUCGAUGGAUCGUUUUAUUUUGCCCAAAGUGAUCCAAAUUUAUAUUUUAUCAUUUCAUAGAGUCCUUCAUAAUUUUUAAUAUAGUAAUAUAUCAUGCUUAUAUUUUUCUCUUAAGCUCUAUGAGUUAAAUCCUACACUACCCAUAUCAACUCACACCCACAAAACUUGGAAUAUUCUUUUACCUUGGCUAUGCUUACUCAACGUUUCACAUUCUGAUGAUUACCACAAAUAUUUUAUAAUUCUCUCUUACUAAGUUCCUUAUUCUAUUCUUUCUCAAUUUCUGACUCAUGACCCACGGCCCCCCACUUGUUCAUGAAAAUAUCUUCUCCAGCAUAUCACCUUACACUCUCGUUUCUUUUCUUUCUCCCAACGCCAGACCCAUUUUCUUCUUCUCUUUCACGUUUUCUUUCUUUCUUCAGCAGACCCAUUUCUGCUCCUUCUCCCUUUCUUCUCCAUGGACAACCAGCCAUGAGCCACCACCACCACACACAAAAGCUCCAACCAUGGCCACUCCAAACAGCCAUGGACACGCGAGCACCACAGCCACCGCUGGCCACCAUCACCAUAGGUUGCUUCUAAUUAAUACUAUUGGCUUUUGUUUCGGUAUUAAAUCCUUCUAAAACAGCUCCUAACUUCUAUUGUUUCUAGUUUUCCUUUACUGUGUGGCUAUUUCUCUUUUAAAGAUGGUUUUGCUCUUUUGAUUUCAAAAGGGCUGAUGGUAAUAGUUUCAUGUGGAGAAAAAGUUGAGUUUUGAAAAGUGUUCCUUUCCCAGAAGUGAUUAUAAACUUUAAAACUAGUUUUCCUCAUGGUUUUUGCAUUUGUCUCACUUGUGUACUAUUAGUUUUGGAAGAAAUAUUUACCUUGACAUUUAAAGAAAAGGGCCGAGAGCAUCAUGAGGAUUUUAAGUUUGGAAUUAAAACUUUUUAUGAGUAUAUUAUUUUUUGAGCUGAAAGGUUUUAUAAACUAUUUGGGGAUCUAGUUGUGAAUGUGUUUUAGGGAUGAAAAUUGUAUGAAAAUAAUUUUAGGGCCUAAAACACAAUAUGUUUAGAAGUUUUGGGUUAAACUUGUGUUUUAAAAGUCUUGGGGUUUGUUUGAUAAAUUUAUAAAAGAUUGAGGGUUGAAAAAGAACUUACUUUUAUGUGAGGACCUUUUCAUGAUUAUGUGCUUAUCAAGGGACUAGGGUUGAAUUAUUUAAGAGUUGAGGAGUUGUUUGCGAAAUGUGUUUUUAAGGACCUUUCUUUAAAACUCACAAAUAUUUUAUCUUUGGACUUUAGUCCUUGAAACAUAAAGUUUGUGCAUUUAGCCUAAGUGAGCUAGAAAGAUUGGCUAAGUUUGUUCUGGAACUUUAGAUGUGACUUUAGAGGCUAAGGUUUAGUAUGUGAACUUGUGAAGGGUACGAAGGACGGAAGCGCUUGACGACGAAGCCAAAGAACAAACGGAAGUGAGCCAACACGGGAAAGCAAAGAUAUGACUGGAUUUGAUUUGAGUCGCAACUUAGUAAGGAAAGCGCCGAAGAUGUCGAUGGCCGACUGGUUCUCGGUGGUCUCUCCCUCGGGGGGGGAUCAGAUAUGAGCUGCAGGAUCGGGAUGCCUCACCGCUUGGGUGAUCGAUGUUGCUGGUCACCGGGCGACGUAUCGGGGAAGGGUCAUGGAGGACCGGACUGACGAGCGUGGACGACUGACGAAAGGAGUUCUAUGGCGCAUAGAGUUGAGCUUCAACUUGCCGACUUCAGAUCGUUGUGGGUUUGGCACUGGGAGGUUAGGUUUGGGCAGGCGUCAUGUUUUGUGUAGAGCUCUGAUUCGUUUUGCUUUUGGGAUCGGGUAGGUUUCCGACGCAUGACUUUUCGUGUGGUUCUCUUACUGAGGGAUCACAGUGAGUCAGUUGGACCAUAGGGGUCUUUGCUUAGGCCAUAUUGAGGCCGACUUUCUCCUAGUGGUUUGUAAUUAUAAUUUUCUCACUUACACUUCUGGGUCUGUAUAUAUUUGCCUACGGGCACACUGCUUUGGAGUCACUGCGAGUGCGCGUGACAUGGAGUGCAGCUGAGGCUGCACAUGUACAUAUGUUGUAUAUCGGUUAGUUGAGUAGUUGGGUUUUGUCUUUA